RNAcentral lists this ribosomal RNA (324 nucleotides) under Triticum aestivum (bread wheat). RNAcentral describes it as "partial small subunit ribosomal RNA". Lineage: Eukaryota; Viridiplantae; Streptophyta; Magnoliopsida; Poales; Poaceae. The record is from RNAcentral.
AUGGGCCCCAGCUCCGGCGACUCCAUCCAGUCGGACAGCGCCGACGUGAGCGGCGAGCUCUCCUCGCCGGGAUGCCUGCCGACGAUGUACAGCUCGUGCGCGUUGCCCAGGUUCCGGAUGGCCGCCAUGGUCUCCUCGCUGUUGGCCACCACCUGCUCCACGUACAUGAUGGCCUCGUUGCCCACGUUGCGCGACCGGAACUCGUUGAGGUACUCCUCGUCCAUCUGCCGCUCCGUCUUGGGCACGUCGGGCACGAUGGUGAUGGCGCGCGAGCCGGACGGCACGGACGACGGCGGCGCCACCGCCGGCGGCGGCGCCGUGUAG